This 497-nucleotide ribosomal RNA is filed under the name uncultured bacterium. RNAcentral describes it as "partial 16S ribosomal RNA". It matches the Rfam family "Bacterial small subunit ribosomal RNA", at positions 28 to 507 of the family's 1533-position model. The record is from RNAcentral.
GAUGAACGCUGGCGGCGUGCCUAACACAUGCAAGUCGAGCGAACGCAUGAGAAGCUUGCCUGUCCGAUGUUAGCGCCGGACGGGAGAGUAACACGUGGACGACCUCCCUAUAAGACAGGAAUGACAUCGGGAAACCGUAGCUAAGACCGGAGAAUAUUUCGAACCGUGGGGAGCAAGAGUGAAAGACGGUCUUGCGUUGAGUAAUAGAUGGAUCCGCGCUGCAUUAGCUAGUUGGUAAGGUAACGGCUUACCAAGGCAACGAUGCAUAGCCGACCUGAGCGGGUGAUCGGCCACACGGGCACUGAGACACGGCCCAGACUCCUACGGGAGGCAGCAGUAGGGAAUCUUACCCCAGGCGGCACUGCCUGACAGCGCAGCGCCGCGUGAGUGAUGACGGUCUUCGGUUCGUAAAGCUCUGUAAUUAGGGAAGAAGGUAUGUGUAAGUAACUGUGGACAUCUUGACGGUACCUAGUGAGAAAGCGCCGGCUAACUUCGUG